AUUGAACGCUGGCGGCAUGCCUUACACAUGCAAGUCGAACGGUAACAGGUCUUCGGAUGCUGACGAGUGGCGAACGGGUGAGUAAUACAUCGGAACGUGCCCGAGAGUGGGGGAUAACGAAGCGAAAGCUUUGCUAAUACCGCAUACGAUCUCAGGAUGAAAGCAGGGGACCGCAAGGCCUUGCGCUCACGGAGCGGCCGAUGGCAGAUUAGGUAGUUGGUGGGAUAAAAGCUUACCAAGCCGACGAUCUGUAGCUGGUCUGAGAGGACGACCAGCCACACUGGGACUGAGACACGGCCCAGACUCCUACGGGAGGCAGCAGUGGGGAAUUUUGGACAAUGGGCGCAAGCCUGAUCCAGCCAUGCCGCGUGCAGGAUGAAGGCCUUCGGGUUGUAAACUGCUUUUGUACGGAACGAAAAGACUCCUUCUAAUAAAGGGGGUCCAUGACGGUACCGUAAGAAUAAGCACCGGCUAACUACGUGCCAGCCGCCGCGGUAA
RNAcentral lists this ribosomal RNA (498 nucleotides) under uncultured bacterium. Its description in RNAcentral is "partial 16S ribosomal RNA". It matches the Rfam family "Bacterial small subunit ribosomal RNA", at positions 30 to 523 of the family's 1533-position model. The record is from RNAcentral.